CUGGAGGUAUCAGAAGUGCGAAUGCUGACAUAAGUAACGAUAAAGCGGGUGAAAAGCCCGCUCGCCGGAAGACCAAGGGUUCCUGUCCAACGUUAAUCGGGGCAGGGUGAGUCGACCCCUAAGGCGAGGCCGAAAGGCGUAGUCGAUGGGAAACGGGUUAAUAUUCCCGUACUUGGUGUUACUGCGAAGGGGGGACGGAGAAGGCUAUGUUGGCCGGGCGACGGUUGUCCCGGUUUAAGCGUGUAGGUGUGUGUUCCAGGUAAAUCCGGUUCACUUUAACACUGAGGCGUGAUGACGAGGCACUACGGUGCUGAAGCAACAAAUGCCCUGCUUCCAGGAAAAGCCUCUAAGCAUCAGGUAACAUCAAAUCGUACCCCAAACCGACACAGGUGGUCAGGUAGAGAAUACCAAGGCGCUUGAGAGAACUCGGGUGAAGGAACUAGGCAAAAUGGUGCCGUAACUUCGGGAGAAGGCACGCUGACACGUAGGUGAAGUGAUUUACUCACGGAGCUGAAGUCAGUCGAAGAUACCAGCUGGCUGCAACUGUUUAUUAAAAACACAGCACUGUGCAAACACGAAAGUGGACGUAUACGGUGUGACGCCUGCCCGGUGCCGGAAGGUUAAUUGAUGGGGUCAGCGCAAGCGAAGCUCCUGAUCGAAGCCCCGGUAAACGGCGGCCGUAACUAUAACGGUCCUAAGGUAGCGAAAUUCCUUGUCGGGUAAGUUCCGACCUGCACGAAUGGCGUAAUGAUGGCCAGGCUGUCUCCACCCGAGACUCAGUGAAAUUGAACUCGCUGUGAAGAUGCAGUGUACCCGCGGCAAGACGGAAAGACCCCGUGAACCUUUACUAUAGCUUGACACUGAACAUUGAGCCUUGAUGUGUAGGAUAGGUGGGAGGCUUUGAAGCGUGGACGCCAGUCUGCGUGGAGCCGACCUUGAAAUACCACCCUUUAAUGUUUGAUGUUCUAACGUGGACCCGUAAUCCGGGUUGCGGACAGUGUCUGGUGGGUAGUUUGACUGGGGCGGUCUCCUCCUAAAGAGUAACGGAGGAGCACGAAGGUUGGCUAAUCCUGGUCGGACAUCAGGAGGUUAGUGCAAUGGCAUAAGCCAGCUUGACUGCGAGCGUGACGGCGCGAGCAGGUGCGAAAGCAGGUCAUAGUGAUCCGGUGGUUCUGAAUGGAAGGGCCAUCGCUCAACGGAUAAAAGGUACUCCGGGGAUAACAGGCUGAUACCGCCCAAGAGUUCAUAUCGACGGCGGUGUUUGGCACCUCGAUGUCGGCUCAUCACAUCCUGGGGCUGAAGUAGGUCCCAAGGGUAUGGCUGUUCGCCAUUUAAAGUGGUACGCGAGCUGGGUUUAGAACGUCGUGAGACAGUUCGGUCCCUAUCUGCCGUGGGCGCUGGAGAACUGAGGGGGGCUGCUCCUAGUACGAGAGGACCGGAGUGGACGCAUCACUGGUGUUCGGGUUGUCAUGCCAAUGGCACUGCCCGGUAGCUAAAUGCGGAAGAGAUAAGUGCUGAAAGCAUCUAAGCACGAAACUUGCCCCGAGAUGAGUUCUCCCUGAGACUUAGAGUC
Molecule: ribosomal RNA, 1573 nt
Filed under: Salmonella enterica
Lineage: Bacteria; Pseudomonadati; Pseudomonadota; Gammaproteobacteria; Enterobacterales; Enterobacteriaceae
Description: partial 23S ribosomal RNA
Rfam family: Bacterial large subunit ribosomal RNA
Source: RNAcentral